CCUACGGGCGGCAGCAGUGAGGAAUAUUGGUCAAUGGCCGAGAGGCUGAACCAGCCAAGUCGCGUGAGGGAAGACGGCCCUACGGGUUGUAAACUGCUUUUAUACGGGAAUAACGCGCCUUACGUGUAGGGCUUUGCAUGUACCGUAUGAAUAAGGACCGGCUAAUUCCGUGCCAGCAGCCCCGGUAAUACGGAAGGUCCGGGCGUUAUCCGGAUUUAUUGGGUUUAAAGGGAGCGUAGGCCGCAUGUCAAGCGUGCUGUGAAAUGUCCGGGCUCAACCCGGGCCUUGCAGCGCGAACUGGCGUGCUUGAGUCCGCGGAAAGCAGGCGGAAUUCGUCGUGUAGCGGUGAAAUGCUUAGAUAUGACGAAGAACCCCGAUUGCGAAGGCAGCUUGCUGCAGCGGAACUGACGCUGAUGCUCGAAAGCGCGGGUAUCGAACAGGAUUAGAUACCCGAGUAGUC
This 460-nucleotide ribosomal RNA is filed under the name uncultured bacterium. RNAcentral's name for it is "partial 16S ribosomal RNA". It matches the Rfam family "Bacterial small subunit ribosomal RNA", at positions 338 to 795 of the family's 1533-position model. The record is from RNAcentral.